GAUGAACGCUGGCGGCGUGCCUAAUACAUGCAAGUCGAGCGAACGGACGAGAAGCUUGCUUCUCUGAUGUUAGCGGCGGACGGGUGAGUAACACGUGGAUAACCUACCUAUAAGACUGGGAUAACUUCGGGAAACCGUAGCUAAUACCGGAUAAUAUUUUGAACCGCAUGGUUCAAAAGUGAAAGACGGUCUUGCUGUCACUUAUAGAUGGAUCCGCGCUGCAUUAGCUAGUUGGUAAGGUAACGGCUUACCAAGGCAACGAUGCAUAGCCGACCUGAGAGGGGGAUCGGCCACACUGGAACUGAGACACGGUCCAGACUCCUACGGGAAGCAGCAGUAGGGAAUCUUCCGCAAUGGGCGAAAGCCUGACGGAGCAACGCCGCGUGAGUGAUGAAGGUCUUCGGAUCGUAAAACUCUGUUAUUAGGGAAGAACAUAUGUGUAAGUAACUGUGCACAUCUUGACGGUACCUAAUCAGAAAGCCACGGCUAACUACGUG
This 497-nucleotide ribosomal RNA is filed under the name uncultured bacterium. Its description in RNAcentral is "partial 16S ribosomal RNA". It matches the Rfam family "Bacterial small subunit ribosomal RNA", at positions 28 to 507 of the family's 1533-position model. The record is from RNAcentral.